This 902-nucleotide ribosomal RNA is filed under the name uncultured bacterium. Its description in RNAcentral is "bacterial SSU rRNA". It matches the Rfam family "Bacterial small subunit ribosomal RNA", at positions 1 to 916 of the family's 1533-position model. The record is from RNAcentral.
UUCGCCCUUAGAGUUUGAUCCUGGCUCAGGAUGAACGCUGGCGGCGUGCCUAAUACAUGCAAGUCGAGCGAACCACUUCGGUGGUGAGCGGCGAACGGGUGAGUAACACGUAGGUGAUCUGCCCAUCAGACGGGGACAACGAUUGGAAACGAUCGCUAAUACCGGAUAGGACGAAAGUUUAAAGGUGCUUCUGGCACCGCUGAUGGAUGAGCCUGCGGCGCAUUAGCUAGUUGGUAGGGUAAAGGCCUACCAAGGCGACGAUGCGUAGCCGACCUGAGAGGGUGAACGGCCACACUGGGACUGAGACACGGCCCAGACUCCUACGGGAGGCAGCAGUAGGGAAUCUUCGGCAAUGGGCGAAAGCCUGACCGAGCAACGCCGCGUGAAUGAUGAAGGCCUUCGGGUUGUAAAAUUCUGUUAUAAGGGAAGAACGACUUUAGUAGGAAAUGGCUAGAGUGUGACGGUACCUUAUGAGAAAGCCACGGCUAACUACGUGCCAGCAGCCGCGGUAAUACGUAGGUGGCGAGCGUUAUCCGGAAUUAUUGGGCGUAAAGAGCGCGCAGGUGGUUGAUUAAGUCUGAUGUGAAAGCCCACGGCUUAACCGUGGAGGGUCAUUGGAAACUGGUCGACUUGAGUGCAGAAGAGGGAAGUGGAAUUCCAUGUGUAGCGGUGAAAUGCGUAGAGAUAUGGAGGAACACCAGUGGCGAAGGCGGCUUCCUGGUCUGUAACUGACACUGAGGCGCGAAAGCGUGGGGAGCAAACAGGAUUAGAUACCCUGGUAGUCCACGCCGUAAACGAUGAGUGCUAAGUGUUGGGGGUCGAACCUCAGUGCUGAAGUUAACGCAUUAAGCACUCCGCCUGGGGAGUACGGUCGCAAGACUGAAACUCAAAGGAAUUGACGG